This 360-nucleotide unclassified non-coding RNA is filed under the name soil metagenome. Its description in RNAcentral is "partial contains small subunit ribosomal RNA, internal transcribed spacer 1, and 5.8S ribosomal RNA". The record is from RNAcentral.
UAGCCGUAGGUGAACCUGCGGCUGGAUCAUUAUCGAGCUUAAUGACCAACGAAAAAUGAAAUCAACUAGCAUGAUUUCAUGGUGACAUGCUACUGAGCGGUCCGUUUGUUUGACGGAUGUUGCGCUCGUCAUCAGUGACCCAACGGCUCUCGGUUGGCGUCUACCCGUUCUCGAGCAGUUGUGCCUCGUCCGUGGCUGUGAUGAAAGAACGGAAUAUGCAUACGUCCUGCUAGCUCAGGGUAGCGGAUGCUGAGACUUAAUGAGCUUCAGGCCUGGAAGCUACCAACCAACCCCUUUUUUCUAACGAUUUUUCUAACAAAAGACAACAUAUCAGUCUUACCGGUGGAUCACUCGGCUCGU